RNAcentral lists this transfer RNA (75 nucleotides) under Candidatus Pacearchaeota archaeon. RNAcentral describes it as "tRNA-Lys". It matches the Rfam family "tRNA". From Rfam's summary of the family: Transfer RNA (tRNA) molecules are approximately 80 nucleotides in length. Their secondary structure includes four short double-helical elements and three loops (D, anti-codon, and T loops). The record is from RNAcentral. Lineage: Archaea; Nanobdellati.
GGCUUCGUAGCUCAGUCUGGUCAGAGCACUGGACUCUUAAUCCAGGUGUCGCGGGUUCAAAUCCCGUCGAGGCCA